Cololabis saira (Pacific saury) is the source of this 389-nucleotide long non-coding RNA. RefSeq lists it as uncharacterized. The record is from RefSeq and is a predicted model, not a curated record. The transcript is spliced from 3 exons. NCBI's taxonomy places the organism in Eukaryota, Metazoa, Chordata, Actinopteri, Beloniformes, Belonidae.
GGCGGGGCUUGGAGCGCAGAGGCUGAGCUCAGCAGAAGCUGGUGUUGAGCUAAACGAGGAGCUGGUAUCAUGGCCGAAGCAGCGAAAAAAACGAAGAAAAUAAAAGUUUUAACGGAGCGGAGGAGGCGAAAAAAAGAAAGCGGGAGAGUAACAAGCUAAAUGCCCGGUGGAGAAUAAACAUUGGCCCGGCGUUCACUCGCUACAAGCCCUUGUAGCCGUCGUCUUGGACAAGAGAUGGUUGAAGGAUGUAAAGACGUUCAUCACCUCCAGGACUACAUCAGAUCUGGAAAACUUCCAGAAUCACAUCCUCAUGCAGGGAAGGUUCUCCUACACUCCAGCAGUGAAUCAUCAGGGAAGGUUCUCCUACACUCCAGCAGUGAAUCAUCAGG